GUGGGCUGGCGGAUAGCUUUGGUGUCAGAGAAGCUCCAUAGAGGGAAUGGGAGCAGCUGUAUGGAAGUCAGGAGAACUCGUCUUUGAAACAGAAGGAGAAAGAACGCUAAAAGAGUCGUCACUGCCAGAGAACAGCAUUUAGUUUCCAAUUCGGAACACCCAGAUUACACCCACAUCUACACAGGAGCCAACGCAGAAGGUUUUGCUCUCUUGGACCAGCAGUGUUCUGUGGGCAUCGGUGGAGUUCACGGCUGGCCCACCACCUCUCCCUGUCCAAGCAGCUGAUUGUUAACUGUGUCCCCGUCUCUCUGCCGGUGUUGCCUGGCAGUUUCACACAAUGUACCUGUACUUUGUAGGACCUUCAAAUUCUGGCUUGAAAUAAAGGUUUCCACUUACUCUUCUUUCUUCCAAAAUUCCUUGCUCUUUCAGAAAUCAAAAUAAACCGCAAGUAUUAAAUAUUACCUCAUUUGGAGCUUCAAAGGGCGCUCAGCAGAGGACUGGGGAAAGCUCUUGGCUCUGUGUGGCACAUAAAGAGUGGCCCUCCUGGUUCUAGGUACUAAUUGCAUGAAAAAUACAGAGGGAGGGUGGCAAGUGGCACCGAGACAUAAAAAUGCCUGCCAUGUGUGAAAACUCAAAAAUUUUUUUUUAAAUGCAGGCAUAAGAAUUCAGCCAGAAAAAAAAAAUAGACAUGCCAAUAAAAAAUGUGUGUCUUAAAACCUGGCUGCCGGUGCCCUUCCUCUCCCCAAUGGAUACUCUCAGUAAAGAAAACAUGGUGGGUCUUUUCCCCCUCCUUUGCCUGUAUUUCAUUUCCAAUUAAAAUUAAAUAUAAACUCGAACGCCACCUGGAUUUUAGCAAAACCCAACCCCUACCUCCGCCCUUCCUUCUUUUUAAAGAGAAGAACCUGGGCUUACAUAUACAAACAUUUUGGUAAAUGACCCGUGGCAAAUUGCGUAAUGCCAGUAAAAGUUGUGUUUUUUAAGUUAUGAGACCCAAAGAUUUUUAUCUGAAAUAAAACCCUGAUUCAAUUCAGAUUCUGGAGGCCAACUGUGUCCUUAACUCUGCCUCCAAAUUUAAAACAUUUGUGCAAGGGGCCCCUUCGGUGACGCUUGCUUGUGGGUACAGAGUAGAGAUUCUGUGUUGAUUAGGAUGUGUGUUUUCUUUCCUAAGAUGAUAAAUUGGGGUACUAAUUGCCUACAAGGCCUGAUUCUACAGUCUUCACACUGAGGUCAGGAUGAAUGAAGAGAUGAGUAGGUGGAUGGGACUGGCCAUGAAUUUCAGUCUACUACCCAGUGAUAUAGAACGUGGGGAUUCCUGUAUCCGUGGGAGGUGGUUCUUGGAAGAGUCCAAUAUGGAGAACUCAAUACUGAUUACAUGUAAAUAUGAAAUGAGUAGGGCAGGCUAAAGAAUGGAAUACCCAGUCUAGACCAGACCAGACCAGUAUGUUUGGAUCCAUACGAUCUGGGCCAUGGCUUUGGUUCAUCCUUAAAAGAUGGGGAAUCCAGUAACGAGCAUGUUUUAAAGCAGUGGUUGUUCAGCCAAGGAUAAUGUACUCAUUUGUACUGCUUCAUUUUACAGAUGAGAAAAUGGAGGCACCGAAUGCUGGUCACAUGUGACAGUUUUUCUCACACAGGAACUGUGAGAGGUGGGGCUCCACCCUUCUGGCAGGGAAUUCCAGUCAAAUGGUCCCUGUAUCUCUACAAUUCCCAGAGGGAAGCUGCCUGAGAAGUGACUGAUGACGGAAGAUUGUGCCUGUGACCAUGGGACACAUGGUCCAGGAGACACAUGGGAGGUAGGAGAAUGGGGAAACGCAAAACAGAAAAGUAAGUCCUGCUUUAUUUCCCACCUCUCUGGGGAUGGAUGAGUUCUGACUUUUGUUACACAAGAGUGAGGGUCAGUAAGGAUGAUUUGCGUGUGCCACAGGUCAUGGUGGAAGCGCCCAGAACACUGGGGGAUCGGGAGAGUACAUCCAGACAAGUGGUGGCUGAAGAGAUAAAUGUGAGAAGAAAUCUUAAAACUUACUUUAUUGUUAUGGAAAAAUAUGUGACCUAUGCACUGCACAGGAUCAAGAUCAUUGUACGUAUUUCCUAUGCAUUUCAUAUGCAUCCUGCAGGGCUUUAACUUAAAGCACCUCCUCUUUGUCUCUAUAGAGCUAAUGUUGCUAUGGAAACCUUCAGAUAUACAAAAAGCAAAAAGCAUUUAUAAACAAACAAGAAUCCUAAAACUAAACGGAAGAGUGAGGUUAAGAGCACCUUCCUCCACCACAAAGAUGAUCAGCCCUCAGAAAGAAAAAAAAAAAAAAGAAAAGAAAAAAAGGGUUGGGGAUUUAGCUCAGCGGUAGAGCGCUUGCCUAGCGUGCGCAAGGCCCUGGGUUCGGUCCCCAGCUCCGAAAAAAAAAAAAAAAAAAAAGAAAGAAAGAAAAAAAAAAGAUGAUCAGCCCUCAGGUUAUUAACUACUAAAUAAGUGUUGUUAUUUUAUGUGAGCAGGUAUGUGCAUACUCACAUUGGUGCAUACCAGAGACAAAUGCCCUUACCAGGUGUAGCCACCUGAGCAGCCCAGGUAUGGUAUUCUCAAUGGCUACAAGAUUUUAAAAGUUCAGUAGGUCAAAACCACCUUCUGAACUCUUCUUCUCCCAUCCGAUUUAGGAAAUAUCCAACUGUUUAUCUUUUAAACAGGACACUAAAAUACACAGGAAUGGAUUAAAUUCUUUGUGCUUCACACACUAAUUUUGUAGGUUGAAUUCUUACUGAUGGUGGCAAUGACGUUCAUAAUAACAGCACUAGCUGACAUCUGCAGACCAUUACAAUGUGCUGCAGUUUCCUGGUCCUUUGUUACCCUCGGGAUAAUAAAUGUUGAUGCUGUCCCCAUUUGAUGGAUAUGAAAACUGAGGUGCAGAAUUUUCAGAUGUCCACAAUAACUCAUCUAGGAAGGACUGUGACUUAGGCCAGAGCUUCAAUCCCACAGCCUAACCUUGCCUGCCAGUCAUCCCACCCGCGUGGCUCUCCAGCCAAGCAGUAGAAGAUGGUCUAGAGAAACCAAAGAAGCAAAUUGUUGGGCCCUGCUAGAAUUUGAGAAUUCUGAAGGAGGAUCUGGCAAUCGGUUCUAAGAAGCCCUCAACAUAGUCCAACAGGAAACUCUGAAAAAGAUUCAAUUCCUUGCAAACAAAGCAGGCAACGUGGAUCUCUAAACCAAAAUGGCUGUGAGAGUCUGCCGAGAGUCUUGGCCAAACUGCCCAAGAAUGGUCUGCAGGUACUCACAUGCCUGCCAGGAAGGAGUGUCCAUGCUUUGUGGACCAUGUCUAUGAACCUGGCUGAGCUUAGCAUGGACCUGCCUCAUGAUAAACUGUAGUGAGGAGAGAACAAUAGUGUACGGCCACCUGAAUGAAUGUGAAAUAGCUCUCAGUGCUCAAGGCUUAUCCUGACCCGAUGCCUUUCAGAGUUUUCAUCAGAGUUGGCUGGGGCUUUGAUGUUUUGUGACACCUGAAAAAUAAUUCCAGGUACAUGCUGUUGAGUAUUUAGAGCCAAAAGAAGAGCCCUACUCCAAGACAGAGAUAGAUUACAAAAAGACUUAACAUAAUGUAAUCAUGGAAACAUAAAAAAAAAAAUAUUUGCCCAAACACUGAACAAGUUAGCAUAGUCAAAAGUCUGUGGAGUGAAUGAGAAGGGUCAAAAUUAUGUACUUACACACAUACAUACGCACAUAUGCACACAUGUAUGCCCCUAUGCAUGCCUCCCCAAGGUAUGCACCCACAUAUGCCUGUAUGCAUACACGGACACAGAUACAGAUACAGAUACAGACACACACACACACACACACACACACACACACACACACACACACUCCACAGCCAAUGUUCUUUGACAAUAGGAAUAAGAGGGCCAAUGUGACAGAAAUAAACACAUUUUUGUCAAUUGUGAAAAAGAGUAACUUAUGGGAUAAGCUUUACAAAAAGACAGAAGCAACUAUGUAAGAAAGGAAAGAAAAAAGGCCCCAGAAGGAUUAAAAAAAAAAUACCAAAGCUGACUCCAUCUUCUGGAAAAUACAGUUAAUAAGUGCAUUGAGCAACAAUCUUCAGAUUUGACAACUAUUAUCAAAUCAGGCACUAAGGUUUCAAUUAUUCUAAUUAUAGGAUGAGGUGAGUAGCUAGAAUUUGAUAUUAAAGUAUAGGAAAUAUAGAACUUACCAAGGAAACAAGCCAGACUUAGCAGGCCCCAUCUCAUCCCUGGAAAGCUCAUACUUGUACCAUGGGCUAUGUUAACAGAGACGGCAGAAGCUAUGUCCUGCAACCCAGUGACCUCAGGCCCGUCCUGAGGAAGCCUCAACUCACUAGUUGUCACUAGUUGCUCUGUAGCUUGAAUCUAAUGUCACAGAUCUCUGAAUUGAUGGAUAUUGUCAAAGACAAACCUUGCAGAUCCUUAAUUACCCAAGCCACAACUCAAAGCUAUUCAGUUCAGGAAUAUAUCUCCCAUCCAUUAUUUCCCACCGAAAGGUUUAAAGUAAAUCAGCAGAUGUUCACAUACUGAGUUUCUGUUUUCUAGUUUCACUAAAGUCUUAAAGAAAAAAAAACCCACCAUUCAGAUACUAAUUUUUUCUCUCCAGGCCACUGAGGAUUUAUGACCCAAAUCCCUCCUCUAUCUAUUGAUUGGCUUAUGUGUGUCUCCUUCAGUUUACCUCUGUGUGCAUUAAAGAUUUCCAUUGAUGGUUCACGUAUGUGCUUCUGUAUCUUAUUGCACCUCAAUUAGAGUGUGAAUUCCUAGAAUGAAAGGAGAGAGGGAAGGCAGUAUUUCUCUGUGGUGUCUAGUGGUGAGGACACGAAUGGGAGAAAGCCUACACUAGAAACAAGGGAGCUGUGGCUGAGGACAGCUGCUCUCUCAGUGACCCACCAAGAAUGUCCAAUCUCCAUUUCCUCAGCAGGCUGCCUCAAGGGUUUUUAACUAUUACCAAUGUCCAAUUUCUUAAUUUGUGAGAAACUAUCAGUUAAAUUACUGAAAACAAGAACGGAAGUGUGAAUACACCCACACAUCACUGCAUCAGACUAGAAACUGCGAGCCAAAAUCAUAAAUUAUGUGUAUAGGUAUGUAGACCCCUACACACACACACACACACACACACACACACACACACUCUUACACACACUCACAUACCCUCAAGCACACACAUAAACAUACAACAUGCUCAAACACACACUCAUACACACAUGCACGCUCACACACAUGAACACUCACAGACACCCCCCCACACACACACACACAAAGCAUCAUCUACCCUAUGACUACAAAGUAAGAGCAGAAAAUCUGCCACACACCACAUUCCACUCAAUAACCCAGGGGAGGGCUACUAUUUUUGCAAAGUGCAAGGCCGUGCACAUUUUAAGGUUUCUGGGGCAUAUAACUUCUGCUGUAAUAGGUUGCCGUGGCUGGCUCUUGUAACAGUUAAAUCUUUCCUGUCAACUUGAUGGGGUUUAGGAUCACCACAGAAACAUACCUGUAGAGGUGUAUCUAUGAAGGCUGUAUCGUUCAAAAGGGAAAAACCACCAUAAACAUGGGUAGCAACAGCCAAUGGACUGAGCUCCCAGACUGGAUACAAAGAAGAAAGCAAGUUGAAUGUCAGCGUCUACCUCUCCGUCUCCUGACCGUGGAAGCAGUGUGACCAGAUGCCUCAUGUUUCUGCAGGUGUAACCUCUCCCAUUGAUGGACCAGACCCGCACAAACUGCAGGGCAAAAUUAAUCUUUGCAUCCUUAAGUUGUUUCUGACAGCCAUGUUGUCACAUCUGUGAGGAAAAUUACUACUACAGCUGUGUAGGUCUACAGGCAGCUGUGCACCGUGGUAAACAACAGGUAUAGCCGUGUCUGCACAGGACUGUCUUCGGCAUGGAACGCUAGGCUGGAUUUGGCCUGAGCACUAGAGCUCUUUGGUUCCUGUUCUGGUGUGAAGGUUCAACCCAGCACCUUGUACACAGAAUGUGCCCAACAAACAUCUGAGGCGGGCUGCUUCCUGUCAGAAGACUCCUUUCAGAAGGCCACCCUCACAAUCACAGUCCUGAAUCACCUCAUUACAGAAUAUAACCUUGACAAUGGUGUUAGUGAUUAAAGCACACCUACCCCAUGCAUGAUGUCGUCCCCAUCUGACAGAUAGCUGAGGGCUACAGGAAGUCCAUACAUCAGUACAUACGACACAGACACAUAAUACACAGCAUAAAACUUUGUAUUUAUAAGACAAAUAUAAGCCUCAUGACCCGAACAGCAGAAUAGAAAGAAACCAGGUAGAGACAACCCAGUGCUUCUGCAUGUCGAACGCUUAUUGCACUGAAAUGGAGAUCUCACCAGGAGGAAGGAGCAAAAUGAGGGGAGGUAAGCAAUAUUAUCAAGGUGUUAUUUAUCACACACAUUAGGACCAAAAAUAGUCAGAAAAGAAUGAGCAUCGUGUCAUUCUCUCGCCGUCUUUGACCUUGUAAAAGGUUGCUGAGUUCUUAUAGAGGAUAAUGAGCGUCAGUGGGAGAAGCCUUCCUUAUGAGAGAGCUGCUCUGUACCAUGCCGCCUUGAAAAAUUAAUAUAUAAUAAUUAUAAUCAUGAAGCGCCACUCUUGCCCUGCUUUAUGAUGCUACAUCUUAUUUUAUUAAAAAUUUCCCCAAAUCUUUCUUCCCUUGGCUGUGAGAGGCAUGGCUCUGCUACGGAAAAGCAAAAGACAUUUUACGCACAAUUUUCCUCUACUAGAAAGAGGUAGAUUGUGCCCUUCAGUGAACAUAAAAUUGAUAUUAUCAUCUCUUAGUUUAUAUCUCACUACUUAACCUUCAGAUUAAAAGUUAUUGGAUUUGAAUGACUAAAAAGACAUCCUGUCACCUUCCCUCCCGUGGAGAGACCGUUCAGGGCAAGACAAAGCAGCAUGGGAAGGGUAUCCGUCCGGUGGGAACAGCAGUCUGACUGCCAUGCUCAAGGGCUCAAGGAGAGACCACAGCAGGCCACUGGCAAUAGACUCACGGCUGGGAGGAUGAAAAAUGGCAGAGUAUGCUCUGUGCUCUAGAAACCUUGCUGAAGAUGAAUGUGUGGGGAAGUUAAUCUUAUUUUGAGUAUCGUCAUAAAAGGAGCAAGCUAGGGUCUGGGGAGACAGCCCCAUCAGUGAACUGGUUACUUGCUAAACAGUAGGACCCGAGUUCAAUCCCAGCACCCAUAUUUUUCAAAGGUAAAGCCAGUGGUAGCUUGCCAGUUAUCCUAGUGCUGAGGAAGCACUGGCAAGCAUAUCCUAGCCUACCUGAGGUGAGCUCCAGGCCAGUGAGGGGCUCUAUCUUAAAAGAUUUACAAAAAUAAAAAAAUAAAUAAAAUCAAAGAGCAAACUCAGAUGACAAAAUUGGGAACAGUACAUGAUCUCAGCCUGCAAUUCUAUGUGCAUGUAUGCACAUGCACACACACAUGGACAAACGAUAGGGAUAGAAUACUAAAGUCAAGAGAAAAAGAACCGUGCCCGAGUUAUUACAUACACAAUCUCUGCAGAAGCUACAAGGGCCUUCUAGAAGGAUUAGAGAGAACCCAGCUUGCAUCUACCUUAACUUUUUCAACUUAAAUGCAGUGAGGAGACUUCCGUCCCUGGGCAGUUGGAUCGGCACCUCUUAAAUGAGUUUACCAAGAGCGCCCGCUGUUUAAUAAUUACACACUGUAUUUUUCCAGCAAAAGAUCCACACUAUGCGCUCCUCCCCCAACCCCUUGCCACUUUAAAAACAAAUUCAUUCUAAGAGGCUUUUGUCAAUAUGGAAUAAAGACCCUAUCACAGAUUCAGCUUAGUUAGUUUUGUUCUCUAAGAUAGAUAAGCCGGGCUCUGUGAUCAAUAGGCGCACAGGAGUUUUAUCAGCAUCCCCAUGUGACUCUCAGAGAUUCGAGCAGCAGGCCAAGGCUGAAGGCGACGCACUUGAUAAUAUUAAUCAGAAUAAACAUACACAACCACUGUAGUGACUUUUAGCCAAACAAAAAGGCUUUCUUUCUUCUUUCUUUUUUUUCUUUCUUUCUCUUCCUCUCUUCCUUCCUUUCUUCCCUUUUUUCUCUCUCUUGGACAAAGUCUCAAGGAGCCCAGGCUGGCCUAGAACUGAAAUUCACUAACUCGGUAGCUGAGAAUGGCUCUCAACUCAAAUGGCAGGUAUGCGCACUAUCCCUAGCUGAGAAGGUGAGGUCGCUUUUGUCAUCUCAAUGCCGCUGUGAACCACCUGAGAAGGGGAUCCCAUGAGGGGCUACCUUCUCACCACAGUACACCAUCACUGGGCGAUGUGUUGGAACGUAUCAGAGAAAGAGAAGGGCUGUCCUUUCCUGGUCGGACUUACAAGAUGUUAAAGAAUCCAUGCAUGGGGUUGCAGGAGGAAAUGGGAAGGAGAGCCAUGACAGAUCCCCAGUCAAACGUAUCCAAGAUUGGUGGACCAUUAUUAAAUGCUGGGCUAAUGGCUACCAAUCUCCCAGGGAUUCUUUCACCGCUGGCUGGGCCCAUUCUCAGUUUGCAUAGGAGCAGGGACUGAGGCCUCAUACAGGCCACUGCCACAUACUCUCUGAGCACCUUCUUCUGUGGUCUCAGCUGUCUCCUGCCCAAUCUCCCAGCUUUUGUGCCUACUUUGCCGCUCCACACACAUCAAUCUGUUCUCUCUGCCACCUCACCACAGGAGUGGGCAAGAAGAGCUGACCAGAAGCCAUGUACACAAACGAACAAAUUCAGUUCUGCAGGCC
Rattus norvegicus (Norway rat) is the source of this 8697-nucleotide non-coding RNA. The record is from RefSeq and is a predicted model, not a curated record. NCBI's taxonomy places the organism in Eukaryota, Metazoa, Chordata, Mammalia, Rodentia, Muridae.